UGGAAAAAUUAGUUUAAUAAAAAGAAAAAUCUGUCAGGUUUUUGAUACUUUUGGGUAUUUUUCU
Molecule: transfer RNA, 64 nt
Filed under: Rhodopsalta leptomera
Lineage: Eukaryota; Metazoa; Arthropoda; Insecta; Hemiptera; Cicadidae
Description: tRNA-Asp
Source: RNAcentral